AAGAGUAUAGGGGCUUUAUGCCCACUAACUCCACCCUUUGUUUACAUACCAUUGUUGCUUUGGCAGGCCCGUCGCAAGACAACCGGCUUUGGCUGGUCAGUGCCUGCCAGUAGCCUACCACAAAAUACUUUUUUAACCAUGUUAUAUCUGAAAAAUAGUUAAAUAAACUA
RNAcentral lists this unclassified non-coding RNA (170 nucleotides) under uncultured Helotiales. Its description in RNAcentral is "sequence contains ITS1". Lineage: Eukaryota; Fungi; Ascomycota; Leotiomycetes; Helotiales. The record is from RNAcentral.